UACGUAGGGUCCGAGCGUUGUCCGGAAUUAUUGGGCGUAAAGAGCUCGUAGGCGGGCCGUUAAGUCGGAAGUGAAAUCUCAAGGCUCAACCUUGAAAUCGCUUUCGAUACUGGCGGACUUGAGGCAGGUAGGGGAAGGUGGAAUUCCUGGUGUAGCGGUGAAAUGCGCAGAUAUCAGGAGGAACACCGGUGGCGAAGGCGGCCUUCUGGGCCUGUUCUGACGCUGAGGAGCGAAAGUGUGGGGAGCAAACAGG
RNAcentral lists this ribosomal RNA (253 nucleotides) under uncultured bacterium. RNAcentral describes it as "partial 16S ribosomal RNA". It matches the Rfam family "Bacterial small subunit ribosomal RNA", at positions 524 to 776 of the family's 1533-position model. The record is from RNAcentral.